This 333-nucleotide ribosomal RNA is filed under the name Enterobacter cloacae. RNAcentral describes it as "bacterial LSU rRNA". It matches the Rfam family "Bacterial large subunit ribosomal RNA", at positions 1 to 362 of the family's 2925-position model. The record is from RNAcentral. Lineage: Bacteria; Pseudomonadati; Pseudomonadota; Gammaproteobacteria; Enterobacterales; Enterobacteriaceae.
GGGUUGUGAGGUUAAGCGACUAAGCGUACACGGUGGAUGCCCUGGCAGUCAGAGGCGAUGAAGGACGUGCUAAUCUGCGAAAAGCGCCGGCGAGGUGAUAUGAACCCUUGACCCGGCGAUGUCCGAAUGGGGAAACCCAGUGUGUUCCGACACACUAUCGUUAACUGAAUACAUAGGUUAACGAGGCGAACCGGGGGAACUGAAACAUCUAAGUACGACGAGGAAAAGAAAUCAACCGACAUUCCCCCAGUAGCGGCGAGCGAACGGGGAGGAGCCAGGAGUAUGAAUCAGCUGAGGUGUUAGUGGAACGGUCUGGAAAGGCCGCCGGUCCAG